Molecule: ribosomal RNA, 301 nt
Filed under: uncultured bacterium
Lineage: Bacteria
Description: partial 16S ribosomal RNA
Rfam family: Bacterial small subunit ribosomal RNA
Source: RNAcentral
CAGCAGCCGCGGGAAUACGUAGGGUGCGAGCGUUAAUCGGAAUUACUGGGCGUAAAGCGUGCGCAGGCGGUUGUACAAGACAGAUGUGAAAUCCCCGGGCUUAACCUGGGAAUGGCAUUUGUGACUGUACGGCUAGAGUGUGUCAGAGGGGGGUAGAAUUCCACGUGUAGCAGUGAAAUGCGUAGAUAUGUGGAGGAAUACCGAUGGCGAAGGCAGCCCCCUGGGAUAACACUGACGCUCAUGCACGAAAGCGUGGGGAGCAAACAGGAUUAGAUACCCCGGUAGUCCCUGUCUCUUAUAC